This 231-nucleotide long non-coding RNA is filed under the name Theobroma cacao (cacao). Its description in RNAcentral is "long non-coding RNA (TCAC_LNC005818)". Lineage: Eukaryota; Viridiplantae; Streptophyta; Magnoliopsida; Malvales; Malvaceae. The record is from RNAcentral.
UUUUUUCUAACUAAUUUUGACAUGGUAUGCAAUCUUACAUGUCCUAGUCUCCUAUGCCAUAACCAGCUAUCAUUUUCAGCAUUGGCAACUAAACAUAUUUCAUCAUUCAUUGCAAGAUGCUCAAGAAAAAUAACAUACAUAUUUUUCAAUCUCUUUCCUAUAAAUGAGACUUUAUUUGUACCUAUAACUAUUACUUCACACUUGUUUGAAUCAAAACAUACUUUAAAUCCU